This 116-nucleotide non-coding RNA is filed under the name Fusarium oxysporum f. sp. cubense race 1. Its description in RNAcentral is "Eukaryotic small subunit ribosomal RNA". It matches the Rfam family "Eukaryotic small subunit ribosomal RNA", at positions 738 to 855 of the family's 1831-position model. Lineage: Eukaryota; Fungi; Ascomycota; Sordariomycetes; Hypocreales; Nectriaceae. The record is from Rfam by way of RNAcentral.
GGGAAACAGGACUUUUACUGUGAAAAAAUUAGAGUGCUCCAGGCAGGCCUAUGCUCGAAUACAUUAGCAUGGAAUAAUAGAAUAGGACGUGUGGUUCUAUUUUGUUGGUUUCUAGG